RNAcentral lists this ribosomal RNA (783 nucleotides) under Herbiconiux flava. Its description in RNAcentral is "bacterial SSU rRNA". It matches the Rfam family "Bacterial small subunit ribosomal RNA", at positions 54 to 849 of the family's 1533-position model. Lineage: Bacteria; Bacillati; Actinomycetota; Actinomycetes; Micrococcales; Microbacteriaceae. The record is from RNAcentral.
UAUGCAGUCGUAACGGGUAACCGUAUUGCUCUGUGGAUCAGUGGCGAACGGGUGAGUAACACGUGAGUAACCUGCCCUUGACUCUGGGAUAAGCGUUGGAAACGACGUCUAAUACCGGAUAUGAGCUGAGACCGCAUGGUCAUCAGUUGGAAAGAUUUUUUGGUCAAGGAUGGACUCGCGGCCUAUCAGCUUGUUGGUGAGGUAAUGGCUCACCAAGGCGACGACGGGUAGCCGGCCUGAGAGGGUGACCGGCCACACUGGGACUGAGACACGGCCCAGACUCCUACGGGAGGCAGCAGUGGGGAAUAUUGCACAAUGGGCGAAAGCCUGAUGCAGCAACGCCGCGUGAGGGAUGACGGCCUUCGGGUUGUAAACCUCUUUUAGUAGGGAAGAAGCGAAAGUGACGGUACCUGCAGAAAAAGCACCGGCUAACUACGUGCCAGCAGCCGCGGUAAUACGUAGGGUGCAAGCGUUGUCCGGAAUUAUUGGGCGUAAAGAGCUCGUAGGCGGUUUGUCGCGUCUGCUGUGAAAACUGGAGGCUCAACCUCCAGCCUGCAGUGGGUACGGGCAGACUAGAGUGCGGUAGGGGAGAUUGGAAUUCCUGGUGUAGCGGUGGAAUGCGCAGAUAUCAGGAGGAACACCGAUGGCGAAGGCAGAUCUCUGGGCCGUAACUGACGCUGAGGAGCGAAAGCGUGGGGAGCGAACAGGAUUAGAUACCCUGGUAGUCCACGCCGUAAACGUUGGGAACUAGAUGUGGGGGCCAUUCCACGGUCUCCGUGUCGC